This is a long non-coding RNA of Salvelinus fontinalis (brook trout), 1970 nucleotides long. RefSeq lists it as uncharacterized. The transcript has 4 exons. Lineage: Eukaryota; Metazoa; Chordata; Actinopteri; Salmoniformes; Salmonidae. The record is from RefSeq and is a predicted model, not a curated record.
AGAUUUUUACCUUGUCAGCUCGGGGAUUCAAUCUUGCAACCUCACAGUUAACUAGUCCAACGCUAUAACCACCUGCCUCUCAUUGCACUCCACGAGGAGCCUGCCUGUUACGCGAAUGCAGUAAGAAGCCAAGAUGCAUCUCUUCUGGUGGAUCACCCACAUCUUUCUAUCCCUCCCUUCUCUCCUCUCUCUUGUCCAAUCCCUCCCUUCUCUCCUCUCUCUUGUCCAAUCCCUCACGUGCGACAAUGAGACACAGUAUGCUUGGUAAGCCAAUGGUGCUGCAACAAAUGUCCACCAGGACCUCUGCCAUAAACAGAGUAAGUCAACCACCUUUUCAUCAGUUGCUGACUGCAGAGGCAAGACACUUCCAAUCUCAUCUCUGUAAGCUUCUCCAGUCCCAUGGGAAACAGUGUCCAGCGGCCACAUGUUCCAUGAAAAAGCUGCAGUUCCAUGAAAAAGCUGCAGUUCCAUGAAAAAGCUGCAGCAUCUACCUCAAAAAGUACUACACAAGAUCUUCACAAAACCUACUGGUUAUACUACUUGAUUGAUACUGAGAUGUGUAGUGAUUUAUGUAAUGAUAAAUUGGGACAUUUUUACUACUGGUGAACCCUACAUAUUUCCUAUUUAAAUCACUACAUAUUUCUCCCUUAAUGACUACUGUGUAACUAAUGAGCUUUUGGGUAUCUAAUACUUAAAACCUACACAUACUUAAACAAUUCCUACAUGUUCACUACUGAAUGCCUACACAUUACUGCUGUAUGCCUACUCAAUCCCUAUUGAUACUACUGCCAGUGCCAUCUGUGUGUUUAGUGUUGUCACUACUGAAUUACUACACAUUACUGCUGUAUGCCUACUCAAUCCCUAUUGAUACUACUGCCAGUGCCAUCUGUGUGUUUAGUGUUGUCACUACUGAAUGCCUACACAUUACUGCUGUAUGCCUACUCAAUCCCUAUUGAUACUACUGCCAGUGCCAUCUGUGUGUUUAGUGUUGUCACUACUGAAUUACUACACAUUACUGCUGUAUGCCUACUCAAUCCCUAUUGAUACUACUGCCAGUGCCAUCUGUGUGUUUAGUGUUGUCACUACUGAAUGCCUACACAUUACUGCUGUAUGCCUACUCAAUCCCUAUUGAUACUACUGCCAGUGCCAUCUGUGUGUUUAGUGUUGUCACUACUGAAUUACUACAAUGCCUACACAUUACUGCUGUAUGCCUACUCAAUCCCUAUUGAUACUACUGCCAGUGUCAUCUGUGUGUUUAGUGUUGUCACUACUGAAUUACUACACAAUGCCUACACAUUACUGCUGUAUGCCUACUCAAUCCCUAUUGAUACUACUGCCAGUGUCAUCUGUGUGUUUAGUGUUGUCACUACUGAAUUACUACACAAUGCCUACACAUUACUGCUGUAUGCCUACUCAAUCCCUAUUGAUACUACUGCCAGUGCCAUCUGUGUGUUUAGUGUUGUCACUACUGAAUUACUACACAAUGCCUACACAUUACUGCUGUAUGCCUACUCAAUCCCUAUUGAUACUACUGCCAGUGCCAUCUGUGUGUUUAGUGUUGUCACUACUGAAUUACUACACAAUGCCUACACAUUACUGCUGUAUGCCUACUCAAUCCCUAUUGAUACUACUGCCAGUGCCAUCUGUGUGUUUAGUGUUGUCACUACUGAAUUACUACACAAUGCCUACACAUUACUGCUGUAUGCCUACUCAAUCCCUAUUGAUACUACUGCCAGUGUCAUCUGUGUGUUUAGUGUUGUCACUGCUGAAUGGCUCCUGAUCCUUUUUCCUUUCCUACAUAAACCCUUUUCAAUUACUAUUAAAAACAUUUACUACUGUUUGCUUAUUCAAAAUCACUAUUGACAUCUUGUUUAACUACUAGACUGGUGCACUUGUUGUUUCUAACUGUAGUUAUAUCAUCAAACAAGAAAUAAUACGCUUAUACAAACUUUAUAGCACUUUGUAUUAAU